ACUACUAGAAAACACAUUUUGCCAUCCACCACAUGUGAUCACAAUUGUUGCUAAUGUAACCACAAGUUACCCUAAAAUUCUAUCACACUACAAUGCACUUCACAAAACAUUGCUAGUAAACACCACAAUGAUAAAGUGCACAUUCUUUUAAUGUUCCAAAAAAUGCAUUGUGGUGUGUAACACAAGAUAGAUGGCAAGUUGUGGUGGCAAUAGCAAAAAUUAUAGUGGCAUAAGCAACAUUCUUAAAUAAAACCAUAAAUAUGUAUAUUAAUGAUGACUA
Molecule: long non-coding RNA, 280 nt
Filed under: Physcomitrium patens
Lineage: Eukaryota; Viridiplantae; Streptophyta; Bryopsida; Funariales; Funariaceae
Description: long non-coding RNA (PPAT_LNC000429)
Source: RNAcentral